GUGCUUCAUCAGUAUGUAUACUAAAAUUGGAACCACACAUUAGGAUGGACCCUGUACAAGGAUGACAUGAAAACUCAUGAAUUAUUCAAUAUAUUU
Molecule: small nuclear RNA, 96 nt
Filed under: Nannospalax galili (Upper Galilee mountains blind mole rat)
Lineage: Eukaryota; Metazoa; Chordata; Mammalia; Rodentia; Spalacidae
Source: RNAcentral